UCUUUUAUAUAUAUAUUCCCGCCAAAAGUGGUGUAGAGAAGAGAUAGAAUUUAAAAGAGAGACAGAGAGACCUAAAUUUGAAAGGGGAAGCUUGGCUAAAUUUGAAAAACUCCAAAAAUGGAAUUGCAUCGUUGUUCACAGUUUUCACCAUCUAUGAAUGAUCAUUAUCUCUCUUUGAGGUAACAAACUCCAUUUUCUCCCAAAACUUGAAGCUUUUUUUCUUCGUUUUGUUUAUACCUCGCGACAUCUUCUUCUUCCUCGGGUUCCCAAUUCCCUCAAUUUGGGAACCUGAAUAAUCCCUUCUUCAACUUCAUGAUCAGUUCUUCAGGUAUAAAACCCCUUUCUAUAAUCUCACACUUUGUUUCCUUGGGACUUACGGUAGUACCUAACCUAUAAUUUACAUGUAUCUUCUUUCAGAAUGGGUCUCAAGCUCUCGAGAGGGCCUGUAAAAGAGAAAUCAACUCUAGGACUAACGAGGGUUCACAUUCUGACCUACCUUACAACAAGUUAUUAUCUACGUAGCUUGGUCUCCAAGAAACGAAGACGGUUAAUCAUUGGUGGAUAUGAUCUUGAUAUGUCUUAUAUUUCUGACAAAUUGUUGGCUAUGUCCUUUCCUGCUGAACGAAUGAGAGCAGUUUAUAGAAACCCUCUUUGGCAAGUCAAGUCUGUCCUCGAUAUGCGACAUCCUGAUCACUACAAGGUUUAAUAAGACAAUUGAUCAAUCAAAACAUCAAAUCAACAUAUAAGCCAAUCUUUUUCUAAACAUUUUUGGGUCACAGGUCUAUAAUCUUUGCAUAGAAGAAUCUUAUGAUCCAGAAAACUUUUAUGGCCGCGUGGAACGAUUUCCGUUUGAUGACAAUCAUGUUCCGUCUCUCAAAAUGAUCCAACUUUUCUGCGAAAGUGUUUAUUCUUGGCUCGCACAAGAUCCCAAGAACAUCACCGUUGUUCAUUGCAUGGUAUAUUUUCUAAAAAACCAAAACCCGAGUUCUUAGUUUCUUACACAUUGUUAUAUUAUCAGAUUCUAAUGUACUUUUUGCAGGCAGGAAAAGGAAGAACAGGGUUAAUGGUAUCGGCGUACCUUGUCUAUGGUGGGAUGUCAGCUGAAGACGCUCUUGAGAUGUAUGCAAGAAGAAGAACAACAAACAAUAAUGGAGUAAGUCCUUAAUUUAGCCAUGGAUUAAUAGAGAAUAAAGCUAAUAAACAAAACCUUUAAUUUUCUUGAUUAAUACUACCAUGACAGGUCUCAAUACCAAGCCAACGUCGUUAUGUGAAAUAUUGGUCAGAUUUACUUACGUUCCGUUUAAAGGGACCUCCGGAGGUUAAAUUACCCCAAGAAGAUAGCAGAGAGUUGCUGAGGAUUAGACUUUAUGAUACAGCUAACGUUGACUCCGUUUUCUUUGUGGUCUCAGAACUUCAGGAGGUAAUGAUAUAUAUACACUUUGAUGCAUUGCAGAUACUGAUUCUGCUUGAUAAUAAUAUAAACAUUGAUGCAAAGCACACACUGUUUCUGAUGUUAGG
RNAcentral lists this long non-coding RNA (1518 nucleotides) under Capsella grandiflora. Its description in RNAcentral is "long non-coding RNA (CGRA_LNC000144)". The record is from RNAcentral. Lineage: Eukaryota; Viridiplantae; Streptophyta; Magnoliopsida; Brassicales; Brassicaceae.